GGGGCUUUCUUUGGUGAUUUUUUUCACCAAUUCUUCUAUAUAAGGUGUGUUCCCUUUCCUCAUUGUUAGUUUCAACUAAAGGAAUGGUUUUCAUUAUUGGUUUUCAUGAUUUCAUUAUUGUGUUAUUUGGAUUUUCAAAUAUAAUUUGGGGGUUUUAUUUAUAAAUACUUGGUUAUGGUUUCCCAUGGUUUUAAUUAUUCUUUUAUAUGCGUUAAUGGU
Molecule: long non-coding RNA, 219 nt
Filed under: Capsicum annuum
Lineage: Eukaryota; Viridiplantae; Streptophyta; Magnoliopsida; Solanales; Solanaceae
Description: long non-coding RNA (CANN_LNC018635)
Source: RNAcentral